RNAcentral lists this ribosomal RNA (1512 nucleotides) under Staphylococcus aureus. RNAcentral's name for it is "partial 16S ribosomal RNA". It matches the Rfam family "Bacterial small subunit ribosomal RNA". Lineage: Bacteria; Bacillati; Bacillota; Bacilli; Caryophanales; Staphylococcaceae. The record is from RNAcentral.
UAGAGAACGCUGGCGGCGUGCCUAAUACAUGCAAGUCGAGCGAACGGACGAGAAGCUUGCUUCUCUGAUGUUAGCGGCGGACGGGUGAGUAACACGUGGAUAACCUACCUAUAAGACUGGGAUAACUUCGGGAAACCGGAGCUAAUACCGGAUAAUAUUUUGAACCGCAUGGUUCAAAAGUGAAAGACGGUCUUGCUGUCACUUAUAGAUGGAUCCGCGCUGCAUUAGCUAGUUGGUAAGGUAACGGCUUACCAAGGCAACGAUGCAUAGCCGACCUGAGAGGGUGAUCGGCCACACUGGAACUGAGACACGGUCCAGACUCCUACGGGAGGCAGCAGUAGGGAAUCUUCCGCAAUGGGCGAAAGCCUGACGGAGCAACGCCGCGUGAGUGAUGAAGGUCUUCGGAUCGUAAAACUCUGUUAUUAGGGAAGAACAUAUGUGUAAGUAACUGUGCACAUCUUGACGGUACCUAAUCAGAAAGCCACGGCUAACUACGUGCCAGCAGCCGCGGUAAUACGUAGGUGGCAAGCGUUAUCCGGAAUUAUUGGGCGUAAAGCGCGCGUAGGCGGUUUUUUAAGUCUGAUGUGAAAGCCCACGGCUCAACCGUGGAGGGUCAUUGGAAACUGGAAAACUUGAGUGCAGAAGAGGAAAGUGGAAUUCCAUGUGUAGCGGUGAAAUGCGCAGAGAUAUGGAGGAACACCAGUGGCGAAGGCGACUUUCUGGUCUGUAACUGACGCUGAUGUGCGAAAGCGUGGGGAUCAAACAGGAUUAGAUACCCUGGUAGUCCACGCCGUAAACGAUGAGUGCUAAGUGUUAGGGGGUUUCCGCCCCUUAGUGCUGCAGCUAACGCAUUAAGCACUCCGCCUGGGGAGUACGACCGCAAGGUUGAAACUCAAAGGAAUUGACGGGGACCCGCACAAGCGGUGGAGCAUGUGGUUUAAUUCGAAGCAACGCGAAGAACCUUACCAAAUCUUGACAUCCUUUGACAACUCUAGAGAUAGAGCUUUCCCCUUCGGGGGACAAAGUGACAGGUGGUGCAUGGUUGUCGUCAGCUCGUGUCGUGAGAUGUUGGGUUAAGUCCCGCAACGAGCGCAACCCUUAAGCUUAGUUGCCAUCAUUAAGUUGGGCACUCUAAGUUGACUGCCGGUGACAAACCGGAGGAAGGUGGGGAUGACGUCAAAUCAUCAUGCCCCUUAUGAUUUGGGCUACACACGUGCUACAAUGGACAAUACAAAGGGCAGCGAAACCGCGAGGUCAAGCAAAUCCCAUAAAGUUGUUCUCAGUUCGGAUUGUAGUCUGCAACUCGACUACAUGAAGCUGGAAUCGCUAGUAAUCGUAGAUCAGCAUGCUACGGUGAAUACGUUCCCGGGUCUUGUACACACCGCCCGUCACACCACGAGAGUUUGUAACACCCGAAGCCGGUGGAGUAACCUUUUAGGAGCUAGCCGUCGAAGGUGGGACAAAUGAUUGGGGUGAAGUCGAAAGGGGGGAAAAAAAAAAAAAAUUCCGGCC